GCAGUGUACCCGCGGCAAGACGGAAAGACCCCGUGAACCUUUACUAUAGCUUGACACUGAACAUUGAGCCUUGAUGUGUAGGAUAGGUGGGAGGCUUUGAAGUGUGGACGCCAGUCUGCAUGGAGCCGACCUUGAAAUACCACCCUUUAAUGUUUGAUGUUCUAACGUGGACCCGUGAUCCGGGUUGCGGACAGUGUCUGGUGGGUAGUUUGACUGGGGCGGUCUCCUCCUAAAGAGUAACGGAGGAGCACGAAGGUUGGCUAAUCCUGGUCGGACAUCAGGAGGUUAGUGCAAUGGCAUAAGCCAGCUUGACUGCGAGCGUGACGGCGCGAGCAGGUGCGAAAGCAGGUCAUAGUGAUCCGGUGGUUCUGAAUGGAAGGGCCAUCGCUCAACGGAUAAAAGGUACUCCGGGGAUAACAGGCUGAUACCGCCCAAGAGUUCAUAUCGACGGCGGUGUUUGGCACCUCGAUGUCGGCUCAUCACAUCCUGGGGCUGAAGUAGGUCCCAAGGGUAUGGCUGUUCGCCAUUUAAAGUGGUACGCGAGCUGGGUUUAGAACGUCGUGAGACAGUUCGGUCCCUAUCUGCCGUGGGCGCUGGAGAACUGAGGGGGGCUGCUCCUAGUACGAGAGGACCGGAGUGGACGCAUCACUGGUGUUCGGGUUGUCAUGCCAAUGGCACUGCCCGGUAGCUAAAUGCGGAAGAGAUAAGUGCUGAAAGCAUCUAAGCACGAAACUUGCCCCGAGAUGAGUUCUCCCUGAGACUUAGAGUCUCCUGAAGGAACGUUGAAGACGACGACGUUGAUAGGCCGGGUGUGUAAGCGCAGCGAUGCGUUGAGCUAACCGGUACUAAUGAACCGUGAGGCUUAACCUUACA
Molecule: ribosomal RNA, 873 nt
Filed under: Salmonella enterica
Lineage: Bacteria; Pseudomonadati; Pseudomonadota; Gammaproteobacteria; Enterobacterales; Enterobacteriaceae
Description: partial 23S ribosomal RNA
Rfam family: Bacterial large subunit ribosomal RNA
Source: RNAcentral